Molecule: ribosomal RNA, 486 nt
Filed under: uncultured bacterium
Lineage: Bacteria
Description: partial 16S ribosomal RNA
Rfam family: Bacterial small subunit ribosomal RNA
Source: RNAcentral
GAUGAACGCUGGCGGCGUGCUUAACACAUGCAAGUCGAACGAUGAAGCCCAGCUUGCUGGGUGGUUUAUUGGCGAACGGGUGAGUAACACGUGAGUAACCUGCCCUUAACUCUGGGAUAAGCCUGGGAAACUGGGUCUAGUACCGUAUAGGAUCGUCCACCGCAUGGUGGGUGUUGGAAAGAUUUAUCUGUUUUGGAUGGACCGGCGGCGGAUUAGCUUGUUGGUGGGGGAAUUGCCCACCAAGGCGACGACCGGUAGCCGGCCUGUGAGGGUGACCGGCCACACGGGGACUGAGACACGGCCCAGACUCCUACGGGAGGCAGCAGUGGGGAAUAUUGAACAAUGGGCGCAAGCCUGAUCCAGCCAGGCCGCGUGUGUGAAGAAGGCCUUCGGGUUGUAAAACACGUUUGUUGGGAAAGAAAAGCAGCCGGUUAAUACCCGGUUGUCAUGACGGUACCCAAAGAAUAAGCACCGGCUAACUUCGUG